This 497-nucleotide ribosomal RNA is filed under the name uncultured bacterium. RNAcentral's name for it is "partial 16S ribosomal RNA". It matches the Rfam family "Bacterial small subunit ribosomal RNA", at positions 28 to 507 of the family's 1533-position model. The record is from RNAcentral.
GAUGAACGCUGGCGGCGUGCCUAAUACAUGCAAGUCGAGCGAACAGACGAGGAGCUUGCUCCUCUGACGUUAGCGGCGGACGGGUGAGUAACACGUGGAGAACCUAGCUAUAAGACUGGGAUAACUUCGGGAAACCGGAGCUAAUACCGGAUAAUAUAUUGAACCGCAUGGAUCAAUAGUGAAAGACGGUUUUGCUGUCACUUAUAGAUGGAUCCGCGCCGCAUUAGCUAGUUGGUAAGGUAACGGCUUACCAAGGCAACGAUGCGUAGCCGACCUGAGAGGGUGAUCGGCCACACUGGAACUGAGACACGGUCCAGACUCCUACGGGAGGCAGCAGUAGGGAAUCUUCCGCAAUGGGCGAAAGCCUGACGGAGCAACGCCGCGUGAGUGAUGAAGGUCUUCGGAUCGUAAAGCUCUGUUAUCAGGGAAGAACAAAUGUGUAAGUAACUAUGCACGUCUUGACGGUACCUAAUCAGAAAGCCACGGCUAACUACGUG